AUUGAACGCUGGCGGAAUGCUUUACACAUGCAAGUCGAACGGCAGCACGGGAGCUUGCUCCUGGUGGCGAGUGGCGAACGGGUGAGUAACAUAUCGGAACGUACCCAGUCGUGGGGGAUAACUAUCCGAAAGGAUAGCUAAUACCGCAUACGUCCUGAGGGAGAAAGCGGGGGAUCGCAAGACCUCGCGCGAUUGGAGCGGCCGAUAUCGGAUUAGCUAGUUGGUGGGGUAAAAGCUCACCAAGGCGACGAUCCGUAGCGGGUCUGAGAGGACGACCCGCCACACUGGAACUGAGACACGGUCCAGACUCCUACGGGAGGCAGCAGUGGGGGAAUUUUGGACAAUGGGGGCGAACCCUGAUCCAGCAAUGCCGCGUGAGUGAAGAAGGCCUCG
RNAcentral lists this ribosomal RNA (393 nucleotides) under uncultured bacterium. Its description in RNAcentral is "bacterial SSU rRNA". It matches the Rfam family "Bacterial small subunit ribosomal RNA", at positions 29 to 419 of the family's 1533-position model. The record is from RNAcentral.